UGGGGAAUAUUGCACAAUGGGCGCAAGCCUGAUGCAGCCAUGCCGCGUGUAUGAAGAAGGCCUUCGGGUUGUAAAGUACUUUCAGCGAGGAGGAAGGCGGUAAGGUUAAUAACCUUAUCGAUUGACGUUACUCGCAGAAGAAGCACCGGCUAACUCCGUGCCAGCAGCCGCGGUAAUACGGAGGGUGCAAGCGUUAAUCGGAAUUACUGGGCGUAAAGCGCACGCAGGCGGUCUGUCAAGUCGGAUGUGAAAUCCCCGGGCUGAACCUGGGAACUGCAUUCGAAACUGGCAGGCUAGAGUCUUGUAGAGGGGGGUAGAAUUCCAGGUGUAGCGGUGAAAUGCGUAGAGAUCUGGAGGAAUACCGGUGGCGAAGGCGGCCCCCUGGACAAAGACUGACGCUCAGGUGCGAAAGCGUGGGGAGCAAACA
RNAcentral lists this ribosomal RNA (427 nucleotides) under uncultured bacterium. RNAcentral's name for it is "partial 16S ribosomal RNA". It matches the Rfam family "Bacterial small subunit ribosomal RNA", at positions 355 to 774 of the family's 1533-position model. The record is from RNAcentral.